Molecule: ribosomal RNA, 492 nt
Filed under: uncultured bacterium
Lineage: Bacteria
Description: partial 16S ribosomal RNA
Rfam family: Bacterial small subunit ribosomal RNA
Source: RNAcentral
AGUGAACGCUGGCGGUAGGUCUAGCACAUGCAAGUCGAACGGCAGCACAGUAAGAGCUUGCUCUUACGGGUGGCGAGUGGCGGACGGGUGAGGAAUACAUCGGAAUCUACUUUUUCGUGGGGGAUAACGUAGGGAAACUUACGCUAAUACCGCAUACGACCUACGGGUGAAAGCAGGGGAUCUUCGGACCUUGCGCGAUUGAAUGAGCCGAUGUCGGAUUAGCUAGUUGGCGGGGUAAAGGCCCACCAAGGCGACGAUCCGUAGCUGGUCUGAGAGGAUGAUCAGCCACACUGGAACUGAGACACGGUCCAGACUCCUACGGGAGGCAGCAGUGGGGAAUAUUGGACAAUGGGCGCAAGCCUGAUCCAGCCAUACCGCGUGGGUGAAGAAGGCCUUCGGGUUGUAAAGCCCUUUUGUUGGGAAAGAAAAGCAGCAGGUUAAUACCCCGCUGUUCUGACGGUACCCAAAGAAUAAGCACCGGCUAACUUCGUG